This 416-nucleotide ribosomal RNA is filed under the name uncultured bacterium. RNAcentral's name for it is "bacterial SSU rRNA". It matches the Rfam family "Bacterial small subunit ribosomal RNA", at positions 354 to 767 of the family's 1533-position model. The record is from RNAcentral.
GUAAGGAAUAUUGGUCAAUGGGCGCAAGCCUGAACCAGCCAUGCCGCGUGCAGGAAGACGGCCCUAUGGGUUGUAAACUGCUUUUAUCAGGGAAUAAACCCCCGCUCGUGAGCGGGGCUGAAGGUACCUGAAGAAUAAGCAUCGGCUAACUCCGUGCCAGCAGCCGCGGUAAUACGGAGGAUGCAAGCGUUAUCCGGAUUCAUUGGGUUUAAAGGGUGCGCAGGCGGAUUGGUAAGUCAGGGGUGAAAUCCCACAGCUCAACUGUGGAACUGCCUUUGAUACUGUCAGUCUAGAGUAUAGUUGAAGUGGGCGGAAUGUGUCAUGUAGCGGUGAAAUGCUUAGAUAUGACACAGAACACCGAUCGCGAAGGCAGCUCGCUAAGCUAUAACUGACGCUCAUGCACGAAAGCGUGGGGA